This 542-nucleotide ribosomal RNA is filed under the name uncultured eukaryote. Its description in RNAcentral is "SSU rRNA". It matches the Rfam family "Eukaryotic small subunit ribosomal RNA", at positions 21 to 549 of the family's 1831-position model. The record is from RNAcentral.
UAGUCAUAUGCUUGUCUCAGAGAUUAAGCCAUGCAUGUCUAAGUAUAAGCAAUCUUAUACAGCGAAACUGCGAAUGGCUCAUUAAAUCAGUUAUAGUCUACUUGAUCGUAUCUUCUUACAUGGAUAACCGUAGUAAAUCUAGAGCUAAUACAUGCUAAAAAUCCUGGACGCGGCAACGCGGAAGGGACGAGUUUAUUAGAUUAAAAACCGACACCUCUCCGCGAGGGGAGGUAACACAGGUGAUUCACAGUAACCGAUCGGAUCGUCGGCCCCGCCGACGACGAUGCAUACGAGUUUCUGCCCUAUCAACUUUAGAUGGUAGAGUAUCGGUCUACCAUGGUCGUAACGGGUGACGGGGGAUUAGGGUUCGAUUCCGGAGAGGGAGCCUGAGAAACGGCUACCACUUCCAAGGAAGGCAGCAGGCGCGCAAAUUACCCAAUCCCGACACGGGGAGGUAGUGACAAGAAAUACCAUUGUAAUGUCUCCUCGAGAGGCUUACGAUUGGAAUGAGUACAAUUUAAAUCCCUUAACGAGUAACGAUU